This 447-nucleotide ribosomal RNA is filed under the name uncultured bacterium. Its description in RNAcentral is "bacterial SSU rRNA". It matches the Rfam family "Bacterial small subunit ribosomal RNA", at positions 355 to 825 of the family's 1533-position model. The record is from RNAcentral.
UGGGGAAUAUUGGACAAUGGGCGAAAGCCUGAUCCAGCCAUGCCGCGUGAGUGACGAAGGCCUUAGGGUUGUAAAGCUCUUUUGGCGGGGAAGAUAAUGACGGUACCCGCAGAAUAAGCUCCGGCUAACUUCGUGCCAGCAGCCGCGGUAAUACGAAGGGAGCUAGCGUUGUUCGGAAUCACUGGGCGUAAAGCGCACGUAGGCGGAUUUGUCAGUCAGGGGUGAAAUCCCGGGGCUCAACCUCGGAACUGCCCUUGAUACAGCAAGUCUUGAGUUCGAGAGAGGUGGGUGGAAUUCCUAGUGUAGAGGUGAAAUUCGUAGAUAUUAGGAAGAACACCGGUGGCGAAGGCGGCCCACUGGCUCGAUACUGACGCUGAGGUGCGAAAGCGUGGGGAGCAAACAGGAUUAGAUACCCAAGUAGUCCCUGAGCGGGCUGGCAAGGCGCAU